Molecule: ribosomal RNA, 446 nt
Filed under: uncultured prokaryote
Description: bacterial SSU rRNA
Rfam family: Bacterial small subunit ribosomal RNA
Source: RNAcentral
UCGAGAAUCUUCCGCAAUGGACGAAAGUCUGACGGAGCGACGCCGCGUGCGGGAUGAAGGCCUUCGGGUUGUAAACCGCUGUCAGAGAGGCGGAAAUGCAUAGGGGUCAUCCCCUAUGUUUGACCUAAUCUCAGAGGAAGCGCAGGCUAAGUUCGUGCCAGCAGCCGCGGUGACACGAACUGCGCGAACGUUAUUCGGAAUCACUGGGCUUAAAGAGUCCGUAGGCGGCCUGGAGGGUGGGGUGUGAAAUCCCACAGCACAACUGUGGAACUGCGCUUCAAACCGCCAGGCUAGAGGGAGUCAGGGGUGAGCGGAACUGAUGGUGGAGCGGUGAAAUGCGUUGAUAUCAUCAGGAACACCGGUGGCGAAGGCGGCUCACUGGGGCUCUUCUGACGCUGAGGGACGAAAGCUAGGGGAGCGAACGGGAUUAGAUACCCCCGUAGUCC